CGAACGGGUGAGUAACACGUAGGGAACCUGCCCGUGCACCGGGAAUACGCUCUGGAAACGGAGAACAAAUCCCGAUGUACAGGAAGGAGGCAUCUUCUUUCUGUGAAACAUCCUUUAGGGGAUGGGGCGCGGAUGGACCUGCGGUGCAUUAGUUGGUUGGCGGGGUAAAGGCCCACCAAGACGAUGAUGCAUAGCCGGCCUGAGAGGGCGGACGGCCACAUUGGGACUGAGACACGGCCCAGACUCCUACGGAAGGCAGCAG
RNAcentral lists this ribosomal RNA (262 nucleotides) under uncultured bacterium. Its description in RNAcentral is "partial 16S ribosomal RNA". It matches the Rfam family "Bacterial small subunit ribosomal RNA", at positions 99 to 354 of the family's 1533-position model. The record is from RNAcentral.